AGAGCUGUUAGAGCAGGGACGCGCGAAAGGCGGGAGUACGGGCGGCGCUGGAGAACCUCCGCGGCGGAGGGGCCUGGGGGUGGGACCGCGCCCGCGAGCCCGCCCUGACCGGGGUGCGUUCUACUGGCAGUUGCUGAGUUCGGAAGAUUAACUCUGAAUGUGGAGAGAUUAUUUUCUUGCUCGUAAACCUGGUUUACAUAUUUUCAUUCUUAAUGCUCAGUAAUCUUAAGGAAAGUCACCUGAAAGAAUACUUUUUCACCAAGUACUCUUCUGCGCCUGUUUGAAGGUGUCUGUGUGCUUGUGAAGCGCUCCCUUGUUAGUUCCUUCUGUGAGACUCGGGGGAGACUGAAGAGGGAAAUCACCUGCGGGGAAUGAACAGGAAAGCAAUAAGAAGAUUUGGAAAAGAGGCACUGGCUACUGGAGGAAGGGAGAAAUCACCGAGAGAGCGAAAGAUGUAACAGUGACUCAUGCCUAUAAUCCCAGUACUUUGGAAGGUCAAGGCAC
Molecule: long non-coding RNA, 504 nt
Filed under: Homo sapiens (human)
Lineage: Eukaryota; Metazoa; Chordata; Mammalia; Primates; Hominidae
Description: non-protein coding lnc-RC3H1-1:13
Source: RNAcentral